RNAcentral lists this ribosomal RNA (848 nucleotides) under Aureobasidium pullulans. RNAcentral's name for it is "partial large subunit ribosomal RNA". It matches the Rfam family "Eukaryotic large subunit ribosomal RNA", at positions 69 to 935 of the family's 3401-position model. Lineage: Eukaryota; Fungi; Ascomycota; Dothideomycetes; Dothideales; Saccotheciaceae. The record is from RNAcentral.
CAGGGAUUGCCCUAGUAACGGCGAGUGAAGCGGCAACAGCUCAAAUUUGAAAGCUAGCCUUCGGGUUCGCAUUGUAAUUUGUAGAGGAUGAUUUGGGGAAGCCGCCUGUCUAAGUUCCUUGGAACAGGACGUCAUAGAGGGUGAGAAUCCCGUAUGUGACAGGAAAUGGCACCCUAUGUAAAUCUCCUUCGACGAGUCGAGUUGUUUGGGAAUGCAGCUCUAAAUGGGAGGUAAAUUUCUUCUAAAGCUAAAUAUUGGCGAGAGACCGAUAGCGCACAAGUAGAGUGAUCGAAAGAUGAAAAGCACUUUGGAAAGAGAGUUAAAAAGCACGUGAAAUUGUUGAAAGGGAAGCGCUUGCAAUCAGACUUGUUUAAACUGUUCGGCCGGUCUUCUGACCGGUUUACUCAGUUUGGACAGGCCAGCAUCAGUUUCGGCGGCCGGAUAAAGGCUCUGGGAAUGUGGCCUCCACUUCGGUGGAGGUGUUAUAGCCCAGGGUGUAAUACGGCCAGCCGGGACUGAGGUCCGCGCUUCGGCUAGGAUGCUGGCGUAAUGGUUGUAAGCGACCCGUCUUGAAACACGGACCAAGGAGUCUAACAUCUAUGCGAGUGUUCGGGUGUCAAACCCCUGCGCGUAAUGAAAGUGAACGGAGGUGGGAACCCGCAAGGGUGCACCAUCGACCGAUCCUGAUGUCUUCGGAUGGAUUUGAGUAAGAGCAUAGCUGUUGGGACCCGAAAGAUGGUGAACUAUGCCUGAAUAGGGUGAAGCCAGAGGAAACUCUGGUGGAGGCUCGCAGCGGUUCUGACGUGCAAAUCGAUCGUCAAAUUUGGGUAUAGGGGCGAAAGACUAAU